Rattus norvegicus (Norway rat) is the source of this 412-nucleotide non-coding RNA. NCBI's taxonomy places the organism in Eukaryota, Metazoa, Chordata, Mammalia, Rodentia, Muridae. The record is from RefSeq and is a predicted model, not a curated record.
GGAGGUAUGGGAUAUGGAACAGUUGGAGGGUAAACUGGGAGGGGAAUAAAAUCUAGACUGUAAAAAAAUUGGGGGACAAAACUGAUAUUGCCAAUUAUGACUUUUGUUAGGCUUAUUGGAUCCACCCAUUAUUUCAUCAGAAUGGAAAAGGUAUUCUGGAAGGCGGAAAGAAUGGGCAGCUGAUAAAAUGCACUGUUCUCUUGUUUCUUCUCAGUCCAUCCCAACCUCCUUCGAUGAUGGUCUAUAGUCUUUAAGAUACACACAUAAUCACAUCGGAGUGAAGUGGUCUUCAUUAUGAACUGUCAGGAUGUUACACAGCAUUUAGCCCUUUCGUGGUGAAUUCAGUUGGUACCCUGGCUAUCAACAAAGGAACUAUGCUACAGAACAGAUUGCUCUCUCAGGAGUGUAACAG